UAGCGGAAACGAGAAGUAGCUUGCUACUUCGGCGUCGAGCGGCGGACGGGUGAGUAAUGCCUAGGAAAUUGCCUUGAUGUGGGGGAUAACUAUUGGAAACGAUAGCUAAUACCGCAUAACGCCUACGGGCCAAAGAGGGGGAUCUUCGGACCUCUCGCGUCAAGAUAUGCCUAGGUGGGAUUAGCUAGUUGGUGAGGUAAUGGCUCACCAAGGCAACGAUCCCUAGCUGGUCUGAGAGGAUGAUCAGCCACACUGGAACUGAGACACGGUCCAGACUCCUACGGGAGGCAGCAGUGGGGAAUAUUGCACAAUGGGCGCAAGCCUGAUGCAGCCAUGCCGCGUGUAUGAAGAAGGCCUUCGGGUUGUAAAGUACUUUCAGUCGUGAGGAAGGUUCAUACGUUAAUAGCG
RNAcentral lists this ribosomal RNA (408 nucleotides) under Vibrio sp. P5-5. RNAcentral describes it as "bacterial SSU rRNA". It matches the Rfam family "Bacterial small subunit ribosomal RNA", at positions 64 to 480 of the family's 1533-position model. Lineage: Bacteria; Pseudomonadati; Pseudomonadota; Gammaproteobacteria; Vibrionales; Vibrionaceae. The record is from RNAcentral.